GCCCUCUAAGCAUUAUGGUAAUGCACCUGAUUUGUAAUCAGGAGACCGGGGUUCGACUCCCCGAGAGGGCU
Molecule: transfer RNA, 71 nt
Filed under: Desulfobulbaceae bacterium
Lineage: Bacteria; Pseudomonadati; Thermodesulfobacteriota; Desulfobulbia; Desulfobulbales; Desulfobulbaceae
Description: tRNA-Thr
Rfam family: tRNA
About the family: Transfer RNA (tRNA) molecules are approximately 80 nucleotides in length. Their secondary structure includes four short double-helical elements and three loops (D, anti-codon, and T loops).
Source: RNAcentral